GUGACGAGGCGAUGGCUGGCGCUUUACGUGGCGUCAAGCUCGGCGGGUGCCGA
Molecule: small nucleolar RNA, 53 nt
Filed under: Pyrobaculum calidifontis JCM 11548
Lineage: Archaea; Thermoproteati; Thermoproteota; Thermoprotei; Thermoproteales; Thermoproteaceae
Description: PCAsR42
Source: RNAcentral